Mus pahari (shrew mouse) is the source of this 2540-nucleotide long non-coding RNA. RefSeq lists it as uncharacterized. The transcript has 3 exons. Lineage: Eukaryota; Metazoa; Chordata; Mammalia; Rodentia; Muridae. The record is from RefSeq and is a predicted model, not a curated record.
GCUAGUACCUAUGUGCCCAAGAUUGAGCGGUCUUCUAGGGGAGUCUGUCUGUCCAGCAGCUUGCUCUGAACUUAUUCGGUGUUUAGUGAGCACCUCCCCUGAGCAGGCACGCUGGGUGGAGAGAGCCAGUAAGUCCUUGCGGUCCCCGAGUUCAUUCGGAACCUGCAAUGAGAUCUGCCCACGUCUAGGGUUCCCAGUGUGCUGUGUGGUGUUCUGCUUGGACCGAGCCCCAGCCUAGAAUAACUCAGCAUUCCUCUUCCGAGACAAGACAUUUCACCUCCUGCCACCAGACCCAGACACACCGACCUGAGCUUGCUGCUGAAGCCUCCCAAUGCUGUUAGCUGUUUGACCAUCCUGAGGCUCUCCCAGACAUCUCUGAGACAAGAUGGACAUCUGGCAUUGUCUAAAUAGAAAACUGCACUGGAUUGUCUUUUCCUCUAGACCUCCUAACAGAUGACUCCCAUGUGAUUCUGCACACAGCGACGACAUUUCUGAGCACAAAAUCAAGAGGAAUAAAUGUGCAGUUGAGAGGGUGGGCCGUCAAGAAUGGGCAUGCUCCACUGAGGGGAGAGGACCCUCAGCAGCAGACCUCAGACAAGCCUUGGGCUCUGCCCUCCAGACACAACCAACAUUUGUUCAAACUUCAGGUCUGGGUCAAAUGGUGAGCUAAACAUUUUGAGAAGCUAGCUGAAUGUUGUGCACACAACCGUUACCCCCUCACUGUAAGCUGAUGCAGGAGGAUCAUGAGUUUGAAGUCAGUCUGGGCUUAAAAAACAAAACAAAACAAAAAAAACCCCCACCUUUCUCAAAAGAACAAAGUUGAAGCCCUGGAGGGAAUCCACGCACAAAACCCUGGGUUAUCUGCACAGAGGCCUGACUGAUUCUCAUUCCUGGCUGACCGAGGCAUCCUGUCUCCCUCUUACCUUGCCCAGCUGUUGGCUUCUAGUCAAAAUACACAUAGCCAUUUAAUCAUUAAUCUGAGCAAAACAUUGCUAGGGAGUUUCACUGUGGAGUUUUUAUGCAUAUACACACCACAGUUAAUUGCUUGGCUAUCUGGUUUUCUUGUUCUUCUCUGUAUUUUUCUGGGCCCUGUCCCUCUCCAUUUGUGGAGAUGGCCGUAAGUGAUCUCAUUGGGGAAUUAAUUGCUAAGAACCUUUUGGUUCUCUUCUUUGAAGGUGUGUGUGGGGACGUGUUUGGCUGCAGUGGACAGUUUAUGUUCACAAGAAGUGAGUGACCUUGUCCAUGGAAUAGAGCAUGUAUCUGUGACCAGGAAAAACACCAGUGUUUGUAUUUGGUGAUGGUUUUAUGCCUUGCUGUCAGUAGAGACAUUUACAAGCUUGCUGACAGUCCAGGACUCCAAAAGCCAUCAUGGUGACUUAGCACAUAUAAAUGCACCCUAUUUUUAUAUUAAUACUAGGGAGGGGAAGCUGAAAGAUCAAACACAGAGAGAAUGGAUUUGAGAGACACUUCAGAGCCAUUGGGAGGCCUACAAAACUAGAUUCAGCACGCUGUCAGGUCCCCAGGAUUUUCAUUCCCCACUCUGUAUGUGUGUGUGUGUGUAUGUGUGUGUGUGUGUGUGUGUGUGUGUGUGGUUGGCUAACUUUGAACUCCUAAUCAUUCUGCCUCAGACUCCAGGGUACUGGUAUUAUAGACAUGCACCAUCAUGCUUGGAUUUUUCCCUCCUUCAUUCAGCUUUCUUCCCCUUCUUCCUUCCUUCCUGUUUUAAUAUGCUUGUUAUUUCUUAAACUAAUUCAGUCUUAAGGAUAAAGAAAUUAAUAACACGUAUCCUCAGCCCUCUUUGAACUCAGCAAAAUCUAGAAAUAAGGAAGAGAGAGAGAAAGAGAGAACAUUAGUACAUUGAGGAUUUUCCAAUCUUGCUUGGGGGGGUACGUGGGAAGCUUCCUGAAAGAGAUAACUGAGUGACUGACUCGAAGGGAAGCUAAACCCAAGGCUUUUCCUUCUCAACGGACCAAGACAUUCAACGGGGUUUAAGAACAGCAUAUGGAGGGGAUGAAGUGGAGGGCUUUAGGGAUGUGAGCCUUCCAUAGAUGGAAGAUGUAUUAGUCAGAGUUCUCUUGAGUAACAGAACUUAUAGAAUGAACACACACACACACACACACACACACACACACACACACACACACACACGGAAUUUAUUAGAAUUACUUAUAGGCUGUGGCCCAGCUAAUCCAGCAAUGGCUGCCUAUGCAUGGAAAGUCCAAGAAUCCAGUAGACGUUCAGUCCCCAAGGCUGGAGGUCUCAGCUGGUCUUUGGUAUACAUCUGAAUCCUGAAGACGUGGUUAAUGCCGGUGAAGGAAUUGAUUUGUUAGGGAGGAUGAGGAGAAGCAAGCAGAGAACAAGGGCUUCCUUCAUCUAUGUCCUGUACGUAGGCUGCCAGCAGAAGGUGUGGUUCUAGUUAAAGAUGGACCGUCCCAUCUCAAAAGACAUGGAUGAAAGGUUUAUCUUCUCACCUCAAAGAUCCAGAUUAGAAAUGGGUUUUCCCACUUUGGAUGAUUUAAUAAAGAAAAAAAAAUCCCUUA